CAAUCUGUAGAAUGUGUGGACCCUGAAGCUUAUGGCAGUGCCGUUAUCUGUUGUAGGGAUGCAAACAUGCUCUUUGAUGUGUUAUUCUUGGGGACUUAGGAGGAUAAAGAUGGAAUACUCAUUUGGCCCAGCUCUCCAGAUGGGAUGAAAAUGCAGCAGUGGUUUAUGUGCAUUUCCACAGAGCAAGAGCCCAUGGUUUAUAGACACCCUUGCAGCUGGAGUUCUGGAUGUGAAUUAGGCUGGACCAAUCAGAUGCAUCUCAUGAGACUUCAAUUCACACCUAAGAAAUUAAUUCACCAGGCUGUGCCUAGGCAUGGAUAUACAUCCAUGGUAAGCAAUUCACCCCCAGCCCCACUACUGGGCAAAAGCAGUAAAAGACACAAACUGCAGCUCCUCCAAGGUGGAGGGCAAGAGUGCCUCCCGCCUCCGCUCCUCAGCCUUAUUGGACCUACAGAUUCUGAUCCUUCCUCAUGGCUCUGA
Molecule: long non-coding RNA, 480 nt
Filed under: Rhinopithecus bieti (black snub-nosed monkey)
Lineage: Eukaryota; Metazoa; Chordata; Mammalia; Primates; Cercopithecidae
Description: lncRNA (ENSRBIG00000046690.1)
Source: RNAcentral